This 350-nucleotide ribosomal RNA is filed under the name uncultured archaeon. RNAcentral describes it as "bacterial SSU rRNA". It matches the Rfam family "Archaeal small subunit ribosomal RNA", at positions 108 to 458 of the family's 1478-position model. The record is from RNAcentral.
CCUACCCUAUGGACGGGGAUAACCUCGGGAAACUGAGAAUAAUACCCGAUAGAACAUUAUGCCUGGAAUGGUUUAUGUUUCAAAUAAUUUAUUGCCGUAGGAUGGGACUGCGGCCUAUCAGUUUGUUGGUGAGGUAAUGGCCCACCAAGACUAUUACAGGUACGGGCUCUGAGAGGAGUAGCCCGGAGAUGGGUACUGAGACACGGACCCAGGCCCUAUGGGGCGCAGCAGGCGAGAAAACUUUGCAAUGUGCGAAAGCACGACAAGGUUAAUCCGAGUGGUUUCUGCUAAAGGAACCUUUUGUCAGUCCUAGAAACACUGAUGAAUAAGGGGUGGGCAAGUUCUGGUGU